RNAcentral lists this ribosomal RNA (461 nucleotides) under uncultured bacterium. Its description in RNAcentral is "bacterial SSU rRNA". It matches the Rfam family "Bacterial small subunit ribosomal RNA", at positions 917 to 1382 of the family's 1533-position model. The record is from RNAcentral.
GGACCCGCACAAGCGGUGGAUGAUGUGGAUUAAUUCGAUGCAACGCGAAAAACCUUACCUACCCUUGACAUGUCUGGAACCCUGAAGAGAUUCGGGGGUGCCCGCAAGGGAACCGGAACACAGGUGCUGCAUGGCUGUCGUCAGCUCGUGUCGUGAGAUGUUGGGUUAAGUCCCGCAACGAGCGCAACCCUUGCCAUUAGUUGCUACGAAAGGGCACUCUAAUGGGACUGCCGGUGACAAACCGGAGGAAGGUGGGGAUGACGUCAAGUCCUCAUGGCCCUUAUGGGUAGGGCUUCACACGUCAUACAAUGGUCGGGACAGAGGGCUGCCAACCCGCGAGGGGGAGCUAAUCCCAUAAACCCGAUCGUAGUCCGGAUUGCAGUCUGCAACUCGACUGCAUGAAGUCGGAAUCGCUAGUAAUCGCGGAUCAGCAUGUCGCGGUGAAUACGUUCCCGGGUCUU